CAAAACUUAAAGCAAAAUUAAAAAACAAAAGGAAUAUGUGAGAAUACAUAAGUAAAGAUGUCAUUAUAUGGUCCAGCUUUUUCAUGAUUUUUGGUAAUUAUAAUAUCCUAAAAUUGCCAUGUGUGAACAACUUUUUUUUCUUUCAAAGGAGACAAAGUUGAUACAAAUAAACUUAAAAGUGUUUUAGGAAACUUGGGGAUUGAGCUCAUGCCUGAUGAACACUUGAACUUGCUGAAAACAUUGCCAGUUAAUGCUGAUGGAAAAGUGUAUCAGAAAAGGUUGAUGAAAGGCAUAAAGUCUCUUGAGCAAGGCAGUGUUGAUGUCAAUAAGCUGGACACUCUUUUAGAAAACAUGGGGAUAAAGAUCACGGAAGAGGAAUUCAUGGAUCUAACAGAAAGACUACCAGAUGACUCUGAAAAGAAAGUCAAACUAAAUAAGUUGAUUAAAGAAUUGAGUGCUGUUUUAGGAAAACAGGUAGAUGUCUGUGACCUAGAAGAUGCACUAAAAGACAUGGAAAUAGAGGUCCCAUAUGAGGACUACUUGCAUUUAGUAAAAACUUUGCCGCUUGAUGCUGAAGGAAAGGUGUAUCAAAAAAGGUUGCUGGAUGGUAUAAAGACUGUUAAAAGAGGAAAAGUUGAUAUAAAUGACCUGGAUAAAUUUCUGGAAAAUAUGGGGAUUGAGCUCUCAGAAAAAGAACUUGAAGAUUUUUCAAAAGACCUACCAGUUGAUGUUGAUGAGAAGGUUGAUCUGAAAAACAUGAUGCUGAGAAUAAAAGAUUUUACAGGAGAAAAGGUUGAUGCCAGAGAUCUGAAAAAUGUUCUUGGAGACAUGGGGAUAGAAGUCAAUGAUAAGGACUGCGUGGAACUGCUAAAAUUACUACCAGUUGAUGGUGAUAAGAAAGUUUUUCGGAAUAGAUUGCUAACGGGUUUGAAGUCUUUCAAAGGAGGAAAGGUUGAUAUCGGUAACCUGAAGACGAUUCUUGGGAACAUGGGGAUCAAGCUCAAAAAUAAGGAACUUCAAAGUGUGAUACAAAAUCAACCUGUUGAUGCUAAUGGAAAUGUUCCUCUGAAAAAGGUGAUGGAUGAUGUGAAAGCAAUUAUAGGAGAAAAACUUAACGUGGAAAAUCUAAAAAACAUUCUCGAAGGCCUUGGAAUAGAAUUCACACCUAAAGAAUACUUGGAACUGGUACAAAAUCUGCAAAUUGAUGAUGAUGGAACUAUAUCUGAAAAUAGAUUGCUAGAUGGUGUGAAAUCAUUCAAAGGUGGAAGAGUUGAUGUUAGUAACCUGGAAAAUGUUUUGGAAAAUGUGAAAAUCAUGCUUCCAGAUAAGGAACUUAAAGAUUUGUCACAAAACCUACCAGUUGAUGCUUCUGGGAUGACUGAUCUGCAUAAACUACUAAAAGAAGUAAAUAAAUUCACAGGAGGAAAAAUUCAAGCCAAGGACAUACAAAAAGUACUGGGAGACAUGGGAGUAGAGCUCACAAAUAGGGAACUCUGGAACCUGAUGAAAAUGUUGCCAAUUACUGAUGACGGAAAGGUAUAUAAAAAUAUAUUGCUUGAUAAUAUAAAAUCAUUUCCUGGUGGGAAGUGCAAUGUCUCUAAAAUUGGUACUAUCCUGGAAAACAUGGGUUAUGAGCUGGAAGAUGAGGAAAUUGAAUACCUGCAGAACCACCUGCCAACUACUGAUGAAAAGAAGGUUAAACUGAAUAAGGUCAUGGAAAAUGUAGAGUCAUUUACAGGAACCAAGAUUAAUACUAAUGAAGUAGAUGAUAUUUUGAAAAACAUAGGGAUAGAACUCACACCUAAGGAACGCUGGAAGCUGCUAAAAACUCUGCCAGUUACUUCUGAUGGAAAAGUGUGUCGCAAUCUGUUACUAGAUCGUUUAAAGACUUUCCAAGGAGGGAAGGUCUUUGAAAAUAAACUAGAAACCAUUCUGGAAAACAUGAACUACAAACUUGAAAAUGAAGAAAUGAAAGAUCUACGGAACCAUUUGAAAAUUGAUGACAAUGGAAAGAUUUUAUUAAAUUCUGUGAUCCGUGCAGCCAAUUUAUUUUCUGGUGAUAAGAUAAAUGCCAGUGACAUACAACUUUAUCUAGGAAAUGUAGGUAUUGAAUUUACAAAUAAAGAAAACCAGGAUCUACUGGACAUAGUGCCAUUGGAUGAUAAUAAAAGGGUAUAUAAAGAUAGGCUGAUGGAUGGAGUGAAGACUUACAGAGGUGAGUAAAAAUCAUGCUAGAAAAGAUAAAACUGAGUUCUUCAAGCUUUUGUGUUUACUUUCUUAAAACCUAUCUUAUUUCCCACUGAUUAGAUUACUAAUUAUGUUAAUAUAUUCUUCAAAUUAUGAACUGGCAUUGUUACUCGUACACAAUCACAUUUGGGGUAAUAGCUUUCACUAUUUUGUCACUGUAGCAAAUUUCAAAUCUUACUGGUAAGAAAUCUUUGGAUUGUUGUCUCUUUGCUGUAAUUCAUCAGUCUUGCUUGCUCUUUUUCCUC
Molecule: long non-coding RNA, 2492 nt
Organism: Macaca nemestrina (pig-tailed macaque)
Lineage: Eukaryota; Metazoa; Chordata; Mammalia; Primates; Cercopithecidae
Source: Ensembl